This 252-nucleotide ribosomal RNA is filed under the name uncultured bacterium. RNAcentral describes it as "partial 16S ribosomal RNA". It matches the Rfam family "Bacterial small subunit ribosomal RNA", at positions 524 to 776 of the family's 1533-position model. The record is from RNAcentral.
UACGGGGGAUGCAAGCGUUAUCCGGAUUUAUUGGGUUUAAAGGGUGCGUAGGUGGGAUGCCAAGUCAGCGGUAAAAAUGCGGUGCUCAACGCCGUCGAGCCGUUGAAACUGGCGUUCUUGAGUGGGCGAGAAGUAUGCGGAAUGCGUGGUGUAGCGGUGAAAUGCAUAGAUAUCACGCAGAACUCCGAUUGCGAAGGCAGCAUACCGGCGCCCUACUGACGCUGAGGCACGAAAGCGUGGGUAUCGAACAGG